CCUCACAUUCAGGAUAGCAUUGCCAUGCUCCAUCCACCCUGUUAUCUAGUCUAACCCCCAUACAGACCAUUCCUUAGAUAGUAUACUACUAAUGACCAGGGCCAUGCUCCAUCCACCCUGUUAUCUAGUCUAACCCCAUACAGACCAUUCCUUAUAUAGUAUACUACUAAUGACCAGGGCCAUGCUCCAUCCACCCUGUUAUCUAGUCUAACCCCCAUACAGACCAUUCCUUAUAUAGUAUACUACUAAUGACCAGGGCCAUGCUCCAUCCACCCUGUUAUCUAGUCUAACCCCCAUACAGACCAUUCCUUAUAUAGUAUACUACUAAUGACCAGGGCCAUGCUCCAUCCACCCUGUUAUCUAGUCUAACCCCAUACAGACCAUUCCUUAUAUAGUAUACUACUAAUGACCAGGGCCAUGCUCCAUCCACCCUGUUAUCUAGUCUAACCCCCAUACAGACCAUUCCUUAUAUAGUAUACUACUCAUGACCAAUACUACUUUAGACCAGGGCCCGGCUAGUGCAGUAUAUUGUAUACUACUAAUGACCAGGGACCGGCUAGUACAGUAUAUAGUAUACUACUUUUGACCAGGGACCAGCUUGGGCAGUAUAUAGUAUACAUAGUAUACUACUUUUGACCAGGGCCCAGCUUGGGCAGUAUAUAGUAUACAUAGUUUACUACUUUUGACUAGGGACCGGCUAGUACAGUAUAUAGUAUAUUACUAAUGACCAGGGACCGGCUAGUACAGUAUAUAGUAUACUACUAAUGACCAGGGACCGAUAGUACAGUAUAUAGUAUACUACUAAUGACCAGGGACCGGCUAGUACAGUAUAUAGUAUACUACUUUUGACCAGGUACCGGCUAGUACAGUAUAUAGUAUACUACUAAUGACCAGGGACCGGCUAGUACAGUAUAUAGUAUACUACUUUUGACCAGGGACCAGCUUGGGCAGUAUAUAGUAUACAUAGUUUACUACUUUUGACUAGGGACCGGCUAGUACAGUAUAUAGUAUAUUACUAAUGACCAGGGACCGGCUAGUACAGUAUAUAGUAUACUACUAAUGACCAGGGACCGAUAGUACAGUAUAUAGUAUACUACUAAUGACCAGGGACCGGCUAGUACAGUAUAUAGUAUACUACUUUUGACCAGGGACCAGCUUGGGCAGUAUAUAGUAUACAUAGUAUACUACUUUUGACCAGGGCCCAGCUUGGGCAGUAUAUAGUAUACAUAGUUUACUACUUUUGACUAGGGACCGGCUAGUACAGUAUAUAGUAUAUUACUAAUGACCAGGGACCGGCUAGUACAGUAUAUAGUAUACUACUAAUGACCAGGGACCGAUAGUACAGUAUAUAGUAUACUACUAAUGACCAGGGACCGGCUAGUACAGUAUAUAGUAUACUACUUUUGACCAGGUACCGGCUAGUACAUUAUAUAGUAUACUACUAAUGACCAGGGACUGAAUAGUACAGUAUACUGUACAGGAAGAGCAUGCCAUUUCAGACAGCGACAUGAGUUGACAUGUAUAGUAUAGUACUAGUAUAGCAACAACACAACAGUCUAUAUAGACCAUAAUGAGGAGACAACAGUCUAUAUAGACCCUAGUGAGGAGACAACAGUCUAUAUAGACCAUAAUGAGGAGACAACAGUCUAUAUAGACCAUAAUGAGGAGACAACAGUCUAUAUAGACCCUAGUGAGGAGACAACAGUCUAUAUAGACCAUAAUGAGGAGACAACAGUCUAUAUAGACCCUAGUGAGGAGACAACAGUCUAUAUAGACCCUAGUGAGGAGACAACAGUCUAUAUAGACCAUAAUGAUUAGACAACAGUCUAUAUAGACCCUAAUGAGGAGACAACAGUCUAUAUAGACCCUAAUGAGGAGACAACAGUCUAUAUAGACCCUAAUGAGGAGACAACAGUCUAUAUAGACCCUAAUGAGAAGACAACAGUCUAUAUAGACCCUAAUGAGGAGACAACAGUCUAUAUAGACCCUAAUGAGGAGACAACAGUCUAUAUAGACCCUAAUGAGGAGACAACAGUCUAUAUAGACCCUAAUGAGAAGACAACAGUCUAUAUAGACCCUAAUGAGGAGACAACAGUCUAUAUAGACCCUAAUGAGGAGACAACAGUCUAUAUAGACCCUAAUGAGACAACAGUCUAUAUAGACCAUAAUGAGGAGACAACAGUCUAUAUAGACCAUAGUGAGGAGACAACAGUCUAUAUAGACCAUAAUGAGGAGACAACAGUCUAUAUAGACCAUAAUGAGAAAAAUAUAAUAUGUAUAUUUUAUGGCUCCUUUUUGGUUUAUUUUCUUGAAACCUUUCUUGAUGAUUGUAGCCUUGAGGUGUCUGUCAGAGAAGUAGGCAGCUCUGUUGUCCCUGGGUGUGUCCCAAUUGCUACCCUAUUCCAUAUGUAGUGCACUCCUUUUGACCAGAGCCUUUGCCUUUAAAGUAGUGCACUAUGCAGGGAAUAGGGUUCCAUUUGGGACAAAGUCCCUGUGUUACCAAACAGGGCUGACGGUAGAGCUGGUUACCGUCCCUGGCUAGCAGAAUUAAUCAUCAUUUACUGUCAUUUAGCUCACGUUGUUUUAGUGUGCAGCUUACUCAUUACUUCAGGAAGCAGAAAAAUAACAAUUAGAAACUAUCAGAAGACUUUGACAAAGCUCUUUCAGUCUCUUGUUCUGGCCCUUUAAUGAUAGGAAUUCAUUUGUGAGAUACAUCCACAUUUCCUGCUUAAUUAUGUGACGAUUUUAAGGAACAAAUGUUUGGUGGUUCUUUUUACUUUGUGUUUGUUUGUGUGUCUGUUGUGCGCGUGUGGCUCUUAGCUGACAUUGUGAAUAGACAGGCGUGAAUCACCUGGAAUUUCCAGUUGAACAAAUAGUAGAGCCGUCGCAAAUUGUGAUUUCCUGAUCAAUCCGGUUUAUUUCCAAGUUUCAACAGGGAGACUGUUUUCUAAUUGACUGGUUGGGAGGUUGUUUACAAGGUUUCCACUGAACUUGUGACUUGAUUGGAUUAGAAACACGUGACUUUAAAACAAUAACAACACAGCAGCCUGAAACUCUCCUGAUUGGUGUUUCAUUCAUCCAUCAAGUCAUCAGAUUUCUAUGGUAAAACUACUGGACAGCCCACUCACUCAUUAACACCUGACAUUUCCAUGGAGUCCUGGGAUCCAUAUGAACUAUAACAAACGUCAUCCACAAUAUACAGGUAUGCCAUAUACUGUAAGAUAAGUGAGUCAUUAAAGGGUUAAGGAGAGUUUCAACAACUUCUUCCAUUGAACUGUCACUGUCUCUAAUCUAUAAGAGUUAUGGCUUCCACUGAAAUGAUUCUGUACAUAAUUACUACAAUAACCAGGCACGUACACAGAGAGGGUUCUACAAGUCCACAGAGAGGGUUCUACAAGUCCACAGAGAGUGUUCUACAAGUCCACAGAGAGGGUUCUACAAGUCCACAGAGAGGGUUCUACAAGUCCACAGAUAGUCUUCUACAAGUCCACAGAGAGGGUUCUACAAGUCCACAGAGAGGGUUCCACAAGUCCACAGAGAGGGUUCUACAAGCCCACAGAGAGGGUUCUACAAGUCCACAGAGAGGGUUCUACAAGUCCACAGAUAGUCUUCUACAAGUCCACAGACAGGGUUCUACAAGUCCACAGAAAGGAUUCUACAAGUCCACAGAGAGGGUUCUACAAAUGCUACCCCCUCUCUUGUGAAAAUACCCCCACAAAGAAGAUUGAUCCAUCAUAAACUGGACGUACACUGAGUGAACCAAACAUUAGGAACACCUUUUGUAAAAAGAAAAGAGCAGGUGUUCUUAAUGUUUUGUACACUCAGUGUGCGUACCCUUUGUAGACAUGAACACCUGCCCUGUAAAUGUCAAUACACGGCCCUGGCAAUUCUCCUGAAGGGACCUACUAUGCUAUAGAAGUGACCUAGAAGUGUUUAACUCGUUCCAUGGUACUUUCCUGCCUCACCAGAGAGUAGAGGAGGUGAGAGACCGCCCUUUCUGGGAAAAUAACACCAUUGAGUCUCCUCCUCCAAAGCUUAAAAUAAGAGCAGACACACUCUUCUCUCUCAAACACAAAGUUUAGUCGUCGGAUAGUUGGUCGCUGUGCUGAAAAUAUUCCAGAACCUGUAAGUAAAAUAUUGCCUCUCAUUGAUAAUGAUAAAAGUGAAAAGGUUUGUCUAUAUCUGAUAACUAUGGAUGUUAUAAAUGUGUGAUAUUUUUCAAGAUAUUUUUUUCUUCAUGUCUUUUCAGAAGAACCUGACAGCCUGUUGAUUUAAGAUAUGUUAUUACAUUAGAUAUGUUUGCAUAGUGCCAGUGAUGAAGUCAUCUAAUUUAAUUGAACAUCUUAAUGUCUUUUGCAGAUUCCUGACCUACGCUCCUAAGCACAGAUCUAGGAUCAGCUCAUCCUCAUCAAAUCCAAACCAGGACGUUUAGAAUUCACAAGGGGAACACUGACCUCAGACCAGCGUUUAAACCCCACGUCUUCCUGCCUAGACACUGACUCUCUGUCCAGAGUUCCUCUGUGCUCCAGCCGUAUAUCCAUCCAGCCAUGGGUCUGAUGAGCGAGGACAUGGAGUGCUGCGUCUGCCUCCAGCCCUACUCUCGCAGGGAGAAGAUCCCUCGGAUGCUCCACUGUAAGCACACAUUCUGUGGGCUGUGCUUGCAGGCGAUGUCCAGGCUCCAGAGCGGCCUACUGACAGUAUGCUGCCCCCUGUGCCGUUGGAUCACCUGCACCGAGCCCAGUCUCACCGUGCCGGGGUCGCUGUGGGUUAACACUGAGAUCUGGGACCAAAUACUAGACACACAACAGGAAGAAGAGGAGGAAGAGAGGAAGGAAGCUAACAGACAGACACAGACCACUACACAGAAAACAUGGUCUCCAUCAAAGCAUUGUGGCCUGAGGAUCAAACUACAGAAUUUCCUGAGGAGGAUGAAGCACAAUGUACUGUAAACCGAGAAGAAGAAGAGCAGAGAAGAAGAAGACUGUAUUUGACCAUUUCAGAGUAGGAGAUACUCAUUGAGUAAUGAAGAUAAUUCACCAAACAGGACCGACCGGUGAUUUUCCAUAAUGAAGCAAGAUUGAACCAAUUAUUAAUAUGCUUUGGGUUUGAUUGACUUUGGGUAUGUGUAAUGUUCUCAGUCAACUUACCUGGUAAAAUAAGGAUUAAAUAAUAAUAUUAAUAAUAAAGGAUGGAUUGGGGGAGGGAAUAAAAAAUAAGAUUUUAAAUGGAUUGAGGAUGAAAGAAAGAUCAAGGAAGUUAUGGAAGGAAGGAAGGAAAUAAGUUAUGGAAGGAAGGAAGUUAUGGAAGGAAGGAAGGAAGUUAUGGAAGGAAGUUAUGGAAGGAAGGAAGUAAGUUAUGGAAGGAAGGAAGUUAUGGAAGGAAGGAAGGAAGUAAGUUAUGGAAGGAAGGAAGUAAGUUAUGGAAGGAAGGAAGGAAGGACGGAAGGAAGUUAUGGAAGGAAGGAAGGAAGUUAUGGAAGGAAGGAAGGAAGUUAUGGAAGGAAGUUAUGGAAGGAAGGAAGUAAGUUAUGGAAGGAAGGAAGUUAUGGAAGGAAGGAAGGAAGUAAGUUAUGGAAGGAAGGAAGGAAGUAAGUUAUGGAAGGAAGGAAGGAAGGACGGAAGGAAGUUAUGGAAGGAAGGAAGGAAGUUAUGGAAGGAAGGAAGGAAGUUAUGGACAGACAGACAGACGGACAGACGGACAGACAGAUAGAUGGGUGAAGGUUAGAGACUGUAUGCUGUACAAUGUGUGCCGUUUACAAUACAAUAUACUGUGAACUAUAUUUAUAAUAGGUGUUUAAUGAUUUGAUAAAAGGUGUAUUACUGCGUGAAGAGAAGUAUAUGUUUAGUAUUUAUUGUUACAUCAUUUAGAACAGUUUCAUAUUGCAGAGUCUUGUUUUUAUCAAUGUAAUUGUCUGCAUCAUUUCCAAUCCCCCAUAUAAGGGAAGUGGGAUUUGUUCAUCCUCAUUUGACAUGUUUUAUUUAUCUGUUCUGUUUGAAGAACAUGUUUUUAUACUGGAAUUAUAUUUAUUGGUUAAUAAAUACAUCCACUUUAAAAUAA
Long non-coding RNA from Salvelinus fontinalis (brook trout), 6057 nucleotides. RefSeq lists it as uncharacterized. The record is from RefSeq and is a predicted model, not a curated record. NCBI's taxonomy places the organism in Eukaryota, Metazoa, Chordata, Actinopteri, Salmoniformes, Salmonidae. The transcript is spliced from 2 exons.